Molecule: ribosomal RNA, 253 nt
Filed under: uncultured bacterium
Lineage: Bacteria
Description: partial 16S ribosomal RNA
Rfam family: Bacterial small subunit ribosomal RNA
Source: RNAcentral
GACAGAGGUGCCGAGCGUUAGGCGGAAUCACUGGGCUUAAAGCGGGUGUAGGCGGGAUCGUAAGUACCUUGUGAAAUCCCACGGCUCAACCGUGGAACUGCUUGGUAUACUGGUUCUCUUGAGCCACCUAGGGGCAACCGGAACAAACGGUGGAGCGGUGAAAUGCGUAGAUAUCGUUUGGAACGCCAAUGGUGAAAACAGGUUGCUGGGGGUGUGCUGACGCUGAGACACGAAAGCCAGGGGAGCAAACGGG